This 441-nucleotide ribosomal RNA is filed under the name uncultured Hyphomicrobiales bacterium. Its description in RNAcentral is "bacterial SSU rRNA". It matches the Rfam family "Bacterial small subunit ribosomal RNA", at positions 337 to 795 of the family's 1533-position model. Lineage: Bacteria; Pseudomonadati; Pseudomonadota; Alphaproteobacteria; Hyphomicrobiales. The record is from RNAcentral.
UCCUACGGGAGGCUGCAGUGGGGAAUAUUGGACAAUGGGCGCAAGCCUGAUCCAGCCAUGCCGCGUGAGUGAUGAAGGCCUUAGGGUUGUAAAGCUCUUUCGCCAGGGACGAUAAUGACGGUACCUGGAUAAGAAGCCCCGGCAAACUUCGUGCCAGCAGCCGCGGUAAUACGAAGGGGGCUAGCGUUGUUCGGAAUCACUGGGCGUAAAGCGCAUGCAGGCGGAUCGUUAAGUCGGGGGUGAAAUCCCGAGGCUCAACCUCGGAACUGCCUCCGAUACUGGCGAUCUUGAGUCCGGAAGAGGUGAGUGGAAUUGCGAGUGUAGAGGUGAAAUUCGUAGAUAUUCGCAAGAACACCAGUGGCGAAGGCGGCUCACUGGUCCGGUACUGACGCUGAGAUGCGAAAGCGUGGGGAGCAAACAGGAUUAGAUACCCUUGUAGUC